RNAcentral lists this ribosomal RNA (116 nucleotides) under bacterium. The record is from RNAcentral.
CCGGGUGGCAUUUACAGUGCGGUCCUACCUGAUCCCAUCCCGAACUCAGCAGUAAAACGCGCUCGUGCCGAUGAUAGUCUGGUGCAUGCCAGUGCAAAAGUAGGUAGCUGCCCUUU